GACGAACGCUGGCGGCGUGCUUAACACAUGCAAGUCGAGCGGUAAGGCCCUUUCGGGGGUACACGAGCGGCGAACGGGUGAGUAACACGUGGGUGACCUGCCCUCAGCUCUGGGAUAAGCCUGGGAAACUGGGUCUAAUACCGGACAUGACUCCAUGACGCAUGUUGUGGGGUGGAAAGCCUUGUGCGGCUGAGGAUGGGCCCGCGGCCUAUCAGCUUGUUGGUGGGGGAUGGCCUACCAAGGCGACGACGGGUAGCCGGCCUGGGAGGCGACCGGCCACACUGGGACUGAGACACGG
This 298-nucleotide ribosomal RNA is filed under the name uncultured bacterium. Its description in RNAcentral is "partial 16S ribosomal RNA". It matches the Rfam family "Bacterial small subunit ribosomal RNA", at positions 28 to 329 of the family's 1533-position model. The record is from RNAcentral.